UCUGCGAAACGAAGCCAAAACAGGGAGGAGGUGGACACAGCGAGAGAAGACGUGUACACACACACACACACAGAGACGGCCCCUGAGCUCUCUUCUCUCGCCUCUCCCUAUCUCUGCAGCCCCGUCGUGCACCGCCGCACCACCACCAACACGACCACCACCACUACCGCCGCCCUCCUCUCGUAGCGCCCCCACGCGCACGCACACGCACAUACACGCGCACAGAAAGAGAGGGAUAAGGUGUGCACUGUGCACCAAAGCCGCGCGAAGGGUGUACGCGCCUUUUUUUUUGUUUCUUUCGCGAGUCUGGGAGAGCGGGAAGCCAAAACAAAGAGGCUCUGCUGUGUUCGAGGCACAAAAUCGAGGGUGCGACGGUCCUGGCAGUCUUCGUUGCCGCGCACACCCGCGCUCUCCCUCUCCCUCUCUGUCUCCACUCAUUUGAAUCAUAGACAAACCCGCACUGUGCGCCACAGCAUUCUGCGUGCACAUCACACGCGCGCACAUCGGCGCAUAGAUUACGACAAUCAUUAGCCAUCAUCAUUACUUCGCUCCUCGUGCGCGUCUGUGUAUGUGCGCGCACGCCUGAGGCGCAUCGAGGCCUUUUUUCAUUGCAUUCUCUGCUGCUGAGAACAGUGUCACUCUCUCUCUCUUUUUCAGGCACGCGCGAGGCGGCGGUCAGCGGCGUCGACCAGCGCCACCCCUCUCACUGUUUCGCUUUGGUGCUCAUCUCAAGCGUAGAGGAGGGGAAGGGGGAGAGGGGAGAGACGUACCCCCAUAGAAGCUGUAUUCCUUCUGCGUUCAUUCGUGUGUUGCUCGCUUUUCCUUCGCCCUCUCUCUUUCUCUGCCACGCCGCGCGUCUCUGAGCUGGAGCGAACGCGGUCUUUGUGUUAACGUGAGUGAACCAGGAUAGACGCAUGCUUCGUCUUGUCGGUUGUCGCCUAGGCGGCCGUGUAAGGCGACGCUCGAAGAGCGUCGUCAUUGACGCCGCCGUUAACGCCGUCCUGGCGGAGCUGAGGGCCAAGGCAACGAAAGCGAAAAAGCCGAAGCGGGCAGCCGCAUCAAAGCCUCCAGCUGCGGUGAAAGCACCUGCGAAGCGCGCUGGGCAACUCGAGCUACCACCUGCGGGCGCCCCACCACCUCCCGCGACCACGGCAGCGCCUGCCAAAGCAAAGACACGAAAUGCCGGCAAGAAUCUCGUUGACACUGUCCUCUCAGGUGUGAACUGCACGCUGCUAAAGCACGUCCUCUCCUCCUCGUCGUCGUCUUCGACGUCGACCGACAUCCCUGACGUGGGACGGGUGUUGCGCCUAGACUACACCACCAUCGCGAGAAAGCACCAGCUGGCGCACCUCGCGGACAUCCUGCUGGUCAACCGCAUCCACGCCGCCGUGGUCAACGACACGCAUGAGCGCACAGCCGACGGCACAAGCGGUGCGGCAGCUGACGCAUCGUCGCCGCUGGUAGUGCUCGUGGAGACAACCCUCCCUCGCGAGGAUGCCGAAGUGCAGGAGUUCAUCAUCCGCAAUGCCCUGAGCAUGCACCCGCUCCCACCGGAGGUGGCAACCGAAGACGGGCAGUCUGUCCACACCCCACCCUUGACAGUCCUGGUUCUCGGCGACGAGCAGACAAAGCGCGUGCGCACACUGGCGGAGCUGCCGCCCGUGCCGCCUCGCGUGCCGGCGGCAGUCCCUCUGGCCACGGCUCCUGCGACAAACUCCCAUGACAGCGCCCAGGCUGUCAGCGCCGCGCCGGCCUCCGAUCGCUCAGCUGCUGCGGAGGCGGCUCCGUCGACAACAUGCAGCAGCCCCGCUCGGUGCAGCCUCAGUGGAGCGCCGGCGCAGGUCGCCCCGCAGCGCAGAGGGAACCCAAAAGAGGCGAACAGCUCGACGCCGCCGAAGGCCGACGUGGACGAAACGGCAACGGCAGCGAAAGCCGUGUUGCCCUCUGCGUCCUCGCCAGUCGCUGCGGCUGCAUCUGCAGAGCCGGUCCCAACGUUAGCAGCCACGGCUGCAGCCGCGAACACCGCACCGCCGGCAAAGACGGCAGCUUCAGAGGCGAACACAAGGCGGGUGGAGCGAGUGGUGCGCCGUGUGGCACGCGUCUCUCUCAAGGCGCUCGCCGCUCAGAAGAAGAAGCGUAGGCCGGCGACGCCGUCUCAGGCGCGCCUGGUCGCUUCGAUUGCGGCCACUGUUUCGGGAAAGCGUGCCGCCGUAGCGCGACCGCCGCGCCUGCUGUCCGUGGACAGUUCGAAGGAAAAGUUGCUGUGGGCAUCUCAACCUGGCCGACCACUGCCCAUCCGAAUACUAGAGCCGUUGAUCAGCCCGGCUGUGUACGAGGAGAUGCGCACUGCUGCCGCGGCGGAUGUCUCGGCUUCGUCCGCUGCCUCACCGCUCACAAUGCACAUGGUGGUCUACGGUGUCAGCAAGGAGAGCAGUGCCUCGACGGUGUGGCUUGGUGCCCUGCAAGCCGCUGCUGACCUCACCAGCGCCAUGUCCAGCGGUGCUUCACAGCUGCCCGCAGAGGUGGCGGAGCUGGCCGGCCUCGACCCAGCGCGCGUCAGGCGCGUCUCCGAGCGCAAGAGCUCGCGAAAACGGUAUGCCAUGAAGGCAGCGGCGGCCUCCUCGGUCGCCGACGAUGGCGCCGCUGGCACCGCCACCACGGCAGCACCGAUGUCACCAAAACCGUAUGUUUACAUACUCAUCCAUACGCGACUAUCCAGAGAAGACGCCGCUGUCUUACAGCAGGAGCUGCAGUACCAGCUGACGCAGCUCAAGGCGACACCAGCGGGUGCGGAAGUGGCGGGCAUGUCAGUGCUAACGGCGGACGACGUAUCCCCGGCACAUCUGUCCUAUGUGCUGGAGCACUCGAUGGUCGAAGGUGGCGGCAACAGCGUGAAGAUGAGUGCUGUGCGCCGCGGCAGCAAAUCUGGGAUGGUACCAUCCGCGGCCCCGACGCUCUCUGCCGAAGCCGCCGAGGUGAGUAACACCUUUCAAGAGGUGUACCGUCUGCUGUCGGAGCAGCCAUGGCUUCUGAGCCCCCCGUUGCAGUGGGAGACACCAUCCUCCUCUUCUCCGCGACAGCAGCAUCCGGACACGCUCGUCGCUGAUGCGAUCCGUAUCGCAGCCCUCACGCAGGUUUUGGUGCAGCGCAAGGAGGCGCAGCUGCGCGGGCAUUUUGAGGCGGCGCAGCAGUCGAGUGCAAUGAACGCAGACAGCGAAGCCGUCGCCCGGGCAGCGCAGCGCGUUGAGAUGAAAACAAUGGUGACGGAGGCGGUCGAGGAGGUGUCGGUGCGCCAUGAGCAGGCGACUGCCCACCUCGUCAAGACGCUGUCCAGCAUAGUGGGACAGUGGUCACUGGAGAAGCUAUCGGACACGCUGGAGGCGAUCGUACGAGACGAGGUGAAGCCAAUCAUGGAUGUGCUGGGGGAACGCCUCGCCAGCACGCCAGGGCGCAACGCUGAAGCAGCGAACGGCGAGGCCACACCAAUCGCCGCAGCACCGGCACUGAUGGCGACGCCUGCAUCCACAUCCCCGACUGACAGCGCUGACGUCGCGUCCUCUGUGCUCCUUGAGAGGCAAGACGAGAUAAAGAGCACUAUGUCGCAGACCUUGGCGCAGCUACGCGAGCUGAGUGAGCGCUUGUCAGCACUGGCGGCGGCAACAACGGCCGCGGCCGCUGCGAAGACUGAAGGCUUGGUAGACUCCGCAGUGGCCCACCCACCAGAGACCGCAGCCGCUCCACUGAAGAGCGAGGAAGAGGUGCGCCUUCUGAGAGAUCUCCAUGAGUUGCAGGAGCAGCAUCACUCGAAGCUCAGCGAGGAGCUAGAGAGCCUGCGGAGUGACCUUCGCUAUUUCGCAAGCCAAGAACGCGCGGCGGCCGAGGCACAAGCGGCCGCGCCUGCCGCAGCGUACGCGGCCACCCUCUCAAGAGAGUCGCUGGAUAGGGCCGUCGCCGACACUGUGCACGAGAUCACGCAUGCGAUCCGGCGAGACAUUCACGCGAGCGUUGUGGAGCAGCUGGACGCCUACUGCGACGUUCAUCGCAGCGCCCAAAACAGCGCACGCGAGGACAGGCGUGAUGAGGAGCCGUCGACGCCGGUGCUGCCCGUCACGUCGUUCGAGUUGGAGGAGAUGCUGACCCGCGUCGUCGACCACACCGUGCGGACGUCGACGGACAAGAUAGAGGACCAUGUGCGGGCAGCCAUGGAAAAUGUGUACCGAAACGAGCGGGCGGCCGAUCCCGCCUCCGUGACUGCGGCUGCAUCCACGACCAGUGCGGCAGAGUCGGACGAAGCGCUGAAGGCUGCGCUCGAGGGCCUGUGGGCCCAGGUACGUGCGGAGGCGGCCGAGGAGGAGGCAGUGAAGGUGUCGCAGCACAAUCGCCAGCUACUGCGCCUCUUGCGUCGCCAGCAGCACCUGCAGCGCAGCGUGCCUGGCCGUCAGCCAGCGUCUGCACCGGCGUCGGCCUCAUCGCCAGCGUCCCCCUUGUCAUAUGUGGCGCUUGAGGAAGCCAUGCGCGUGGUCCUGCAUCCGUACAUGGCGCAGAUGCAGGCCACAGUAGCUGCAGCCGCAGCCGCAGCCGCAGCCGGCUCCCCUCGCACCUCUGUGGAGACGUCGUCGUCGAUUACAUCGGCUGGCGAUGGCGUCGAGCAGGACCAUGUGGCACGUCCCACAAGCAGGAAGUGAAGAAGAGGAGGGCGAGGAGGAUGCCGUAGCCUUCGCAGUGCCGUUGCGCAUAGAAAGGCAUAAAGGGCAUAGAGAAGCGCGCGCGCGCAUUCAAUUGGAUCUCGUUGUUUUAGAGAGAGCAAGACAUUUUGGGAGCUCAGGAGAGGGCUCUCUUGCGACGUGAAGGUCGUCCAGCUCCGUGUAUGGCUGUGGGGUGUGUGGGGGUCGGUGGAGACGAGAAAGGAGCAGCGAUGGACUAGCGAAGAAGGGGCGGUAGGAGAACACACCCGCGCGGUGGCAGACGAUGUUAGCGUUCUUUUCUCAGCUCGUCGCUUGCACGCGUCUGAGUCUGUGGGCGCGUGCACUUGUAGGCGUCAAUUCUUUUCAUGUGGCCGGCACUGCCACUGUCCCGUCCUCUCUCGCCCAACCAACCAACGAAUACCGCCCCGGUGCGUGCUUAGCUCCAGAAAGCAUACGCUUCUUCUUCCUUGAUCCUUCGCGAUUGUUGCCCACCCACCCACACUCCUGCCAACUGUCACGGACGUACAAACCUGCAUGCACACCCUUCUGGAGGGCGUCUAUUGUUGUCCCCGCCCCCUUCCAAAUCCCCUCCCUCUCCACUCCACCAUGGCAAUACGCGGCGGUGUUGGAAAGCGGCGCCACACACGCGUGCAAGAUCGUGCCUUGGGGAACGUACGCAAGCAUGGAUCGAUUUGACGAACGAUGGGGCCCCCACGUCUACGGGAGUGGUGCGUGACGGUGUGCGGCGUGGCGUGCGGGUGCGAUCUUUUCGUCGAGGGGGAUGUCUGGGCAUGUUCUUUGUUUUCGUUUUUGGAUUUCUCGCGCGUUGCAUUGCGGGAGGGGAGGGCGUUGUGUUGUUGGCGUCUGCUGGAGGAGGCGUCUCGUCGUUGUCGUCUCUCUUUUGUUGCCAUGAUUUGUGUGUGUGUGUGUGUGUGUGUGGGUGGGUGGGUGGGUGGGUGUGCGUGUCGGCCUGUGUACUUGUAUCUUUUUUCGGCUGCGAUACCGUCUGCGGUGGUUGUCCGUGCGUGCCCGGUGUCGAGGAGGAGGGGGGAGAGAGGGACGGGAAGUGGAGAUCGGCUACCGGCGCAGGUGCCGUGUGCGAGAGCUGGGUUACCUCCUGUGUGAGCGUGCAGGACAUGCGCACAAGGCACACCUCUUCCUUGUCUUCAUGCCCUGUCUCUCUUUCUCUGCCACCCCACCCGCACUCGAGAGGGCGGUCUUGCUUCCGCGAUCCAUGUCUUCGGUCUUUGCGCGCCUGCACGGGUGUGUCCGAUCCCCUCUUCUUCACAGCCUUGGCCCGCUGCAUUGCAGACGCCUCGCUCCUGGUCUCCUGUGUCGUGCUUUCCCUUAUGUGUGUGUCACUGUUGGUUCUUGAUCUCUCCACACCAACGGUGCCGUUGUGCGGCUCCUGGGCUCUUUCAGGCUCUCCGUCUUGCGGGCGUUGAGUGUGUGGAGGCUCUGCGAAGGGACCAAAGGCAGAGAUCAAAACUCAGCAUCGCUGCUCUUCUCGUGCGUGCUUGCUCUCCUUUCAUAGAUCACUUGCGC
Molecule: unclassified non-coding RNA, 6230 nt
Filed under: Leishmania donovani
Lineage: Eukaryota; Euglenozoa; Kinetoplastea; Trypanosomatida; Trypanosomatidae
Description: gene:LdHU3.19.1270(CDS-product:hypothetical_prote in_conserved)
Source: RNAcentral